GCUGAAAGUAUAGUGGGAAAUAGUGUGAGAAUCACUGACCGUUCCUGCGCUGGUAAGAAAAAAAAUUAAAGUCCAGAAACCACUCAGU
Molecule: non-coding RNA, 88 nt
Filed under: uncultured Candidatus Pelagibacter sp.
Lineage: Bacteria; Pseudomonadati; Pseudomonadota; Alphaproteobacteria; Candidatus Pelagibacterales; Candidatus Pelagibacteraceae
Source: RNAcentral